RNAcentral lists this RNase P RNA (392 nucleotides) under Phycisphaerales bacterium. Its description in RNAcentral is "RNase P RNA component class A". It matches the Rfam family "Bacterial RNase P class A". Rfam says of the family: Ribonuclease P (RNase P) is a ubiquitous endoribonuclease, found in archaea, bacteria and eukarya as well as chloroplasts and mitochondria. Its best characterised activity is the generation of mature 5'-ends of tRNAs by cleaving the 5'-leader elements of precursor-tRNAs. The record is from RNAcentral. Lineage: Bacteria; Pseudomonadati; Planctomycetota; Phycisphaerae; Phycisphaerales.
GGAGCGGACCUGGCGGCCGCUGUCACGCCGCCCGAUCGGCGGCGGCGGCAGAGGAAAGUCCGAACUGGACAGGGCACGGCGGUGGCUAACGGCCACCGGGCGCAAGCCCAGGGAAAGUGCCACAGAAAACAAACCGCCGAUGGCGGUCGACGCGCGCGCCGGCCGCUCAGGCAAGGGUGAAACGGUGCGGUAAGAGCGCACCGCGCGGCCGGUGACGGUCGCGGCACGGCAAACCCCGCCGCCAGCAAGCCCAAGUAAGGGGCGAGAGCCGGCCCGGCUCGCUACCAGCCCCGGGUAGGGCGCACGAGCGCGCCGGCAACGGCGCGCCCAGAUGAAUGGCCGCCGUCUCGAUUCGUCGGGACACAGAAUUCGGCUUACGGUCCGCUCCGCCA